UCAAAUGACUCUUACUUGUCUUAGGAUUCGUGCACUCUUACCGAACUUUUCCCUCAUCCCCGCUUGAUUUCUGGGUCGGUGGCCUCCGUUUUAAUGCAACUAUUUGUCCACCCGUCCACCUCUCCUUCAACUCUCGAAAGCGUUUCUUUCUUCUGCUUUUGUACUUUUUAAUACACCGCUCAACGCACAUUCUUUGAUCUGGAGACCCCUCUUUUUUUUUUUGGGACUAUUCUCUAUUAACUCGCAUUGCAAUUCAAAAAAUCAAGAAUUAAUAAGAAAAGGGUAUAGACAAAAAAAAUCCCUGAAAAGUUAUGCAUGCUUUGAAAGACACAGUUUCGGAAAAACUUUCACAGCUUUUUUCUGAUUCCCCUUCUCAGAACUCAGAUCAACAGCCUCAGGCCGGGCAGUUCAUGAAGGAAAGAAAAUCUUGGUCUUCCAUAUUCUCUUUUGGUCUCCCUUUUUUGAGCUUUGAAUGGUUCAGACCAAAUAAUCAUAAAAAUGAUAUCAAACUACAGCAGUCAGAUUCUUUUAGUUGGAGAAGUAAGAGUUUCUCAUUCAAAGACAGACCUUUGGACAGACACUCAGAACCAUAUAAUGAGUACGGGAACAGUGGAUCACUAAGUGUUCAUGAAGAAAAUGGGAAUCAUGUAUCUAUUAGAAAAUUAGAUUUCCAGAAGAAGGAAUAUUCAGAUACCCAUAUUGAGAACGGAGAGCCUGGCUCUGGAAGGAGCACAACUAGUUGUGGUUCUGAUAUCUUUGAAGAUGCUACUUGUCCAAAUAGUUUUCAGAGGUCAUUGUCCAAUCUUACUGAUGAUUCUGUCUUCAUAUCUCCAGACCUAUAUGAAUUUUUUGAGUCAUCCCUUCCUAAUAUAGUAAAAGGUUGCCAAUGGACCUUACUAUACAGUACUGCAAGACAUGGUAUAUCACUUCGUACACUCAUUCGCAAGAGCGCUGAGCUUUCUGGUCCUUGCUUGCUGAUUACUGGUGAUAAUCAAGGUGCUAUAUUUGGUGGGUUGCUUGAGUGCCCUCUGAAGCCCACUGCAAAGAGAAAGUAUCAGGGGACAAAUCAAUCAUUUGUAUUCACAACCUUAUAUGGUGAACCAAGGCUUUUUAGACCAACUGAUACUUUUACUUGUGCUUGAAUGACUUACUAGCACUUGGAGGUGGUGGAAGUUUUGCUCUAUGCUUGGAUGGAGAACUGUUAACUGGAAGCAGUGGAGCUUGUGAAACCUUUGGAAACUUAUGCUUGGCACAUGAUGAAGAGUUCGAACUGAGGAAUGUUGAGCUGUGGGGUUUUACGCAUGCAUCUCGAUACCUUACCUAGUGACGAAAGAUCAAAAUGGCUUUCAAAACUGUUGAUAUGGGAUUCAUUAUUCUUUGAUGUCUUAUGCAGUGCUCUCCUUGAUUCAGGAGGUUCCCUGCUGUAUAUACCCAUGUUCUUGUAGUUCAUUGAUUGCAAGGCUUUGCUGUCAAUUGUGUUCCUUUUUGCAUUGUGUUGCCCCUGAUCUGGUAAUAUAGCAUUCAUCCUAAGUUGAGACGGUGUCCCUUUUUUCCCCUGUUGCUUUGCUGCGAAUUGCAUUUUACAAUUUGUAUCAUGGCUUUGCUGGACUGUUAGCGAUGCCUUGCUUUAUAAAGUUACGCAAUAGUAGUUUGAGUGUGCCCUUUUAUACCCAUCCAUGAGUGAAAUGCUUCUUCUCUUCGAGGAGAUCAUUUAUCUUAGGACAUUCAAACAGGCACUCGAAUACUGGAACGGUUAUUAGAGAAAUCUUGGGUGACGAGUGAUGAGAAAACAAAAGUAAAUUGCUUGC
Molecule: RNA transcript, 1808 nt
Organism: Coffea arabica (coffee)
Lineage: Eukaryota; Viridiplantae; Streptophyta; Magnoliopsida; Gentianales; Rubiaceae
Source: RefSeq, a predicted model, not a curated record